AUUACAAUUUCUUCGGAAUGACGAUUUAGUGACUGAGUGGCGGACGGGUGAGUAACGCGUGGGUAACCUGCCUUAUACAGGGGGAUAACAGUUAGAAAUGACUGCUAAUACCGCAUAAGCGCACAGGAUUGCAUGAUCUGGUGUGAAAAACUCCGGUGGUAUAAGAUGGACCCGCGUCUGAUUAGCUGGUUGGUGAGGUAACGGCCCACCAAGGCGACGAUCAGUAGCCGACCUGAGAGGGUGACCGGCCACAUUGGGACUGAGACACGGCCCAAACUCCUACGGGAGGCAGCAGUGGGGAAUAUUGCACAAUGGGGGAAACCCUGAUGCAGCGACGCCGCGUGAGCGAAGAAGUAUUUCGGUAUGUAAAGCUCUAUCAGCAGGGAAGAAAAAAUGACGGUACCUGACUAAGAAGCCCCGGCUAACUACGUGCCAGCAGCCGCGGUAAUACGUAGGGGGCAAGCGUUAUCCGGAUUUACUGGGUGUAAAGGGAGCGCAGGCGGUGCGGCAAGUCUGAUGUGAAAGCCCGGGGCUCAACUCCGGGACUGCAUUGGAAACUGUCGUACUUGAGUAUCGGAGAGGUAAGUGGAAUUCCUAGUGUAGCGGUGAAAUGCGUAGAUAUUAGGAGGAACACCAGUGGCGAAGGCGGCU
RNAcentral lists this ribosomal RNA (651 nucleotides) under uncultured Lachnospiraceae bacterium. Its description in RNAcentral is "bacterial SSU rRNA". It matches the Rfam family "Bacterial small subunit ribosomal RNA", at positions 66 to 726 of the family's 1533-position model. Lineage: Bacteria; Bacillati; Bacillota; Clostridia; Lachnospirales; Lachnospiraceae. The record is from RNAcentral.